AUGGCGCCGCCCCGCGUCGGCCUGCUCCUCGCCCUCGCCUUGUGCCUCGCGUUCGCGCGUGCCGACGCGGCCGUGAGGGACCUCAAGGUCGGGUACUACGCGCAGACGUGCCCCCGCGCGGAGGAGAUCGUGCGCCGCGUCAUGGCCCGCGCGCUCGCGCGCGAGGCCCGCAGCGUCGCCUCCGUCAUGCGUCUCCAGUUCCACGACUGCUUCGUCAACGGAUGCGACGGGUCGGUGCUGAUGGACGCGACGCCGACGAUGGCGGGGGAGAAGGAGGCGCUCUCCAACAUCAACUCCCUCCGCUCCUUCGAGGUCGUGGACGAGGUCAAGAGCGCCCUCGAGGAGCAGUGCCCCGGCAUCGUCUCCUGCGCCGACAUCAUCAUCAUGGCCGCCCGCGACGCCGUCGUGCUGACUGGUGGACCCAACUGGGACGUGAGGCUCGGGCGGGAGGACAGUCUGACGGCGAGCCAGGAGGACUCGGACAACAUCAUGCCGAGCCCGCGCGCCAACGCGAGCGCGCUCAUCCGCCUCUUCGCCGGCUACAAGCUCACCGUCACCGACCUCGUCGCGCUAUCCGGCUCGCACUCCGUCGGCGAGGCCCGCUGCUUCUCCAUCGUCUUCCGCCUCUACAACCAGUCGGGCUCCGGCCGCCCCGACCCCCACAUGGACCCGGCCUACCGCCAGGCGCUCGACGCGCUCUGCCCCCUCACCGGCGACCAGAACGUCACCGGCGGCCUGGACGCCACCCCGGUCGUCUUCGACAACCAGUACUUCAAGGACCUGGUCCACCUCCGCGGCUUCCUGAACUCCGACCAGACGCUCUUCUCCGACAACGAGGGGACCCGGCGGGUGGUGACGCAGUUCAGCCAGAACCAGGACGCCUUCUUCAGGGCCUUCAUCGAGGGGAUGGUCAAGCUGGGCGAGCUCCAGAACCCCAGGAAGGGGGAGAUCCGGCGCAACUGCCGCGUCGCCAACGGCGGGCGGCCGCCGCUGGAGAAGCAGGUCGCGCCGUUCCGGGUGGUGGACUUCUGA
Molecule: ribosomal RNA, 1032 nt
Filed under: Triticum aestivum (bread wheat)
Lineage: Eukaryota; Viridiplantae; Streptophyta; Magnoliopsida; Poales; Poaceae
Description: partial small subunit ribosomal RNA
Source: RNAcentral